Molecule: ribosomal RNA, 952 nt
Filed under: uncultured Pseudomonas sp.
Lineage: Bacteria; Pseudomonadati; Pseudomonadota; Gammaproteobacteria; Pseudomonadales; Pseudomonadaceae
Description: bacterial SSU rRNA
Rfam family: Bacterial small subunit ribosomal RNA
Source: RNAcentral
AGGGUUUGAUUCUGGCUCAGAUUGAACGCUGGCGGCAGGCCUAACACAUGCAAGUCGAGCGGAUGACAGGAGCUUGCUCCUGAAUUCAGCGGCGGACGGGUGAGUAAUGCCUAGGAAUCUGCCUGGUAGUGGGGGACAACGUUUCGAAAGGAACGCUAAUACCGCAUACGUCCUACGGGAGAAAGCAGGGGACCUUCGGGCCUUGCGCUAUCAGAUGAGCCUAGGUCGGAUUAGCUAGUUGGUGAGGUAAUGGCUCACCAAGGCGACGAUCCGUAACUGGUCUGAGAGGAUGAUCAGUCACACUGGAACUGAGACACGGUCCAGACUCCUACGGGAGGCAGCAGUGGGGAAUAUUGGACAAUGGGCGAAAGCCUGAUCCAGCCAUGCCGCGUGUGUGAAGAAGGUCUUCGGAUUGUAAAGCACUUUAAGUUGGGAGGAAGGGCAUUAACCUAAUACGUUAGUGUUUUGACGUUACCGACAGAAUAAGCACCGGCUAACUCUGUGCCAGCAGCCGCGGUAAUACAGAGGGUGCAAGCGUUAAUCGGAAUUACUGGGCGUAAAGCGCGCGUAGGUGGUUUGUUAAGUUGGAUGUGAAAGCCCCGGGCUCAACCUGGGAACUGCAUUCAAAACUGACAAGCUAGAGUAUGGUAGAGGGUGGUGGAAUUUCCUGUGUAGCGGUGAAAUGCGUAGAUAUAGGAAGGAACACCAGUGGCGAAGGCGACCACCUGGACUGAUACUGACACUGAGGUGCGAAAGCGUGGGGAGCAAACAGGAUUAGAUACCCUGGUAGUCCACGCCGUAAACGAUGUCAACUAGCCGUUGGGAGCCUUGAGCUCUUAGUGGCGCAGCUAACGCAUUAAGUUGACCGCCUGGGGAGUACGGCCGCAAGGCUAAAACUCAAAUGAAUUUGACGGGGGCCCGCACAAGCGGUGGAGCAUGUGGUUUAAUUCGA